Molecule: ribosomal RNA, 460 nt
Filed under: uncultured bacterium
Lineage: Bacteria
Description: partial 16S ribosomal RNA
Rfam family: Bacterial small subunit ribosomal RNA
Source: RNAcentral
CCUACGGGUGGCAGCAGUGAGGAAUAUUGGUCAAUGGACGAGAGUCUGAACCAGCCAAGUAGCGUGAAGGAUGACUGCCUUAUGGGUUGUAAACUUCUUUUAUAUGGGAAUAAAAUGUUCCACGUGUGGGAUUUUGUAUGUACCAUAUGCAUAAGGAUCGGCUCACUCCGUGCCAGCAGCCGCGGUAAUACGGAGGAUUCGAGCGUUAUCCGGAUUUAUUGGGUUUAAAGGGAGCGUAGGUGGUUUGGUAAGUCAGUUGUGAAAGUUUGCGGCUCAACCGUAAAAUUGCAGUUGAAACUGGCAGUCUUGAGUACAGUAGAGGUGGGCGGAAUUCGUGGUGUAGCGGUGAAAUGCUUAGAUAUCACGAAGAACUCCGAUUGCGAAGGCAGUUCACUGGACUGCAACUGACACUGAGGCUCGAAAGUGUGGGUAUCAAACAGGAUUAGAUACCCUUGUAGUC